GCAUCUACACGACAAAAUGGGACAAAAAAGAAGAAAGAAGGCAGGAGGAAGAGGAAAGAGGCUGGACGCACACUCGGGGCCCGAGUGUGGCGACUGCUCUGGGAAGCAGUGUGACUCUGAUGGUUGCAUGAGUCACUGGCCAGCAAACCAACAUGAACUGCAUCCACGGGAGACUUUUCUGUAUUGCAACACAUAGAAAGGAAGGAAAUCAAAAUGGCAAGGAGGCACAGCAUCGAGCGAGGACUACAAAGGAUGUGCUCCACGCCUGUGAAACUCAAGUAUGAAAGGGGAAGCACUUUGAAAUAUUUUACUAAAAGAUGCAGGCGGAUUUUUUUUUCUUUUGCCUUUCUAGCCAGUGAGCAAAGAACCUUGUCUAAAGAAGACACCGUUGCAGAUUUGCUUGAUGUGGGAAGAAUUUCCGGCUUUCAUCUCCAAAACGGCAAACAAACCAAAACAAGAGAUGCUCCUUUUUUUUUUUUUUUUUUAAAUUGAAAUAUGAACUUUAUUUCACCCAUACAAAAUAAAAAGAAUGUUAAAAGUUUACAAUACAGUGUCAACUGUCUGUUCGCAACCAUUUCAUUACAAGACUGACACAUAAACGGGAGCCCCAUCUUAUAACAAUUAAAACAAUCUAAAAGAGGGGGGGGUGGAGAAACAAAUGCUGAAGGUAAAUUUACUCAAAAUCGGAGGGGGUGGCCAGAAUUGAAAUUAGAGAGGACAAUGGAGAGAAACAACUUUAAAAACAAAGUUAUGGUCCAAGAGUCACAGUAUACUUCGGAUUGGGCCAUUCGGGUGGGGGGAACUUAACGGUGGUAUAAAAUAAUAUACAAGCUCCAGCUGCCGAAGCAACUAACCUCUGGCGGCGUCCAAAACAACAAUGAACACAAUGCGAAUCCUUAACCUGCUGAUGUGCGGUUGGCUCCAGGGCUGUGGAAGUUUACAGUUCUCUUGAUAAAAACGUGACUUAAAAAUAGGAACUAAUUCAAAAAAGCAGCGGCUAGCUUAACCUAUAGUAAAAAUACACCUGCUUCCUUGUUUACGUUACAGCCUGACGACUGGACUGACUAGCAAGUGGUGACAAAGCCGGGAAGUGGGGGCUCACAUCUUAAACAGCGGUGUGUCGUAGCCAAUCGAUAACACGGUAAUGUACCACUUCAGCGGCCAGCGUUUCCCUUCGCCGUCCAAAUACUCUACAAACUGCUGCCCUGAACUCAGCUAGUCGCCUUUUGUAUGAGCAACGAAGGCCAGAAUAAGGCGUUAACUACCACUUAUGGAAUAUUAUCUUUAACCGACCUGAGGAUCUGAAUGACGACGACUGAUAUGUUCACUUCGCAUCUACUACAGAGGAUUGAGGAAGAAAGAAAAGUGCCGAAAAGGGGAAAAAAAAAA
Long non-coding RNA from Stegastes partitus (bicolor damselfish), 1389 nucleotides. RefSeq lists it as uncharacterized. The record is from RefSeq and is a predicted model, not a curated record. NCBI's taxonomy places the organism in Eukaryota, Metazoa, Chordata, Actinopteri, Pomacentridae. The transcript is spliced from 2 exons.